CGAACGGGUGAGUAAUACGUGAGUGACCUACCUUUGACUCUGGGAUAAGCCUGGGAAACUGGGUCUAAUACCGGAUACGACCAAUCUCUGCAUGGGGUGUUGGUGGAAAGCGUUAUGGAGUGGUUUUAGAUGGGCUCACGGCCUAUCAGCUUGUUGGUGAGGUAAUGCUUACCAAGGCGACGACGGGUAGCCGGCCUGAGAGGGUGACCGGCCACACUGGGACUGAGACACGGCCCAG
This 238-nucleotide ribosomal RNA is filed under the name uncultured bacterium. RNAcentral describes it as "partial 16S ribosomal RNA". It matches the Rfam family "Bacterial small subunit ribosomal RNA", at positions 99 to 334 of the family's 1533-position model. The record is from RNAcentral.